CCUACGGGAGGCAGCAGUAGGGAAUCUUUCACAAUGGGCGAAAGCCUGAUGGAGCAACGCCGCGUGCAGGAUGAAGGCCUUCGGGUUGUAAACUGCUUUUAUAAGCGAGAAAUAUGAUGGUAACUUAUGAAUAAGGAUCGGCUAACUACGUGCCAGCAGCCGCGGUCAUACGUAGGAUCCGAGCAUUAUCCGGAGUGACUGGGUGUAAAGGGUUGCGUAGGUGGCAUAAUAAGUAGCUAGUGAAAUCUGGUGGCUCAACCAUUCAGACUAUUAGCUAAACUGUUAAGCUCGAGACCGUUAGGGGUAACUGGAAUUUCUAGUGUAGGAGUGAAAGCCGUAGAUAUUAGAAGGAACACCAAUAGCGUAGGCAGGUUACUGGGACGGUUCUGACACUAAGGCACGAAAGCGUAGGGAGCAAACGGGAUUAGAUACCCGUGUAGUC
RNAcentral lists this ribosomal RNA (442 nucleotides) under uncultured bacterium. RNAcentral describes it as "partial 16S ribosomal RNA". It matches the Rfam family "Bacterial small subunit ribosomal RNA", at positions 338 to 795 of the family's 1533-position model. The record is from RNAcentral.